Molecule: ribosomal RNA, 497 nt
Filed under: uncultured bacterium
Lineage: Bacteria
Description: partial 16S ribosomal RNA
Rfam family: Bacterial small subunit ribosomal RNA
Source: RNAcentral
GAUGAACGCUGGCGGCGUGCCUAAUACAUGCAAGUCGAGCGAACAGAUGAGGCUCUUGCUCCUCUGACGUUAGCGGCGGACGGGUGAGUAACACGUGGAUAACCUACCUAUCAGACUUGGAUAACUUCGGGAAACCGGAGCUACUACCGGAUAAUAUAUUGAACCGCAUGGUUCAAUAGUGAAAGACGGUUUUGCUGUCACUUAUAGAUGGAUCCGCGCCGUAUUAGCUAGUUGGUAAGGUAACGGCUUACCAAGGCAACGAUGCGUAGCCGACGUGAGAGGGGGAUCGGCCACACGGGAAGUGAGACACGGACCAGACGCCUACGGGAGGCAGCAGUAGGGAAUCGUACGCAAUGGGCGAAAGCCUGACGGAGCAACGCCGCGUGAGUGAUGAAGGUCUUCGGAUCGUAAAACUCUGUUAUGAGGGAAGAACAAAUGUGUAAGUAAAUAUGCACGUCGUGACGGUACCUAAUCAGAAAGCCACGGCUAACUACGUG